CUAUCCGCCAGGGAACUACGACCAUCAGCUUAAAACCCAAAGGACUUGGCGGUGCUUUAGACCCACCUAGAGGAGCCUGUUCUAGAACCGAUAACCCCCGUUCAACCUCACCCUUUCUUGCUCUUACCGCCUAUAUACCGCCGUCGUCAGCUUACCCUGUGAAGGAUCAAUAGUAAGCAAAGCCAGUAAAGCUCAAAACGUCAGGUCGAGGUGUAGCACAUGAAGGGGGAAGAAAUGGGCUACAUUCUCUGCCUCAGAACACACGGAUAAUGCAAUGAAAAACCAUUUGAAGGAGGAUUUAGCAGUAAGCAAGAAUUAGAGUGUUUUGCUGAAACUGGCCCUGAAGCGCG
This 350-nucleotide ribosomal RNA is filed under the name Iso natalensis (surf sprite). RNAcentral's name for it is "partial 12S ribosomal RNA". It matches the Rfam family "Bacterial small subunit ribosomal RNA", at positions 865 to 1383 of the family's 1533-position model. The record is from RNAcentral. Lineage: Eukaryota; Metazoa; Chordata; Actinopteri; Atheriniformes; Isonidae.